This 401-nucleotide long non-coding RNA is filed under the name Gossypium barbadense (sea-island cotton). Its description in RNAcentral is "long non-coding RNA (GBAR_LNC009173)". Lineage: Eukaryota; Viridiplantae; Streptophyta; Magnoliopsida; Malvales; Malvaceae. The record is from RNAcentral.
AAUUAUGCGUUAAUAGUUAAAAGGACCUUGUUGGCAAGUAAUGGGGCUUUUAAUUAAAGAUAGGGGAAAAUGACAUCAAAAAGCCUUGCGGAGGAGUGGCUAAGUGACGCCACUUAGGGUGUAAAGAGGUGGCGUUAGUGGCUAGCAAGAGAUCCAAGGUUCGAAUCCUAGCUUAGUAUUUUUAGGAGUUUAAUUUUGGGCCUUCUAGAAGGUUGAAAAUGGCAUGAAGAUGGACUUCGAGGGAAGUGUUUAGUAGAGAAAUCUGAGGAAAGGAUCAAGGGGUUAUCUGGGAGAAAAACGAGGAGAUGAGAAGUGAGGAGCAAGUGAGUCGAAUUGGGAAUUUGGGCUUGAGGAAUUCGGCUAUAGGGACUAUAAAUAGGUGCCGAGUGGGAGGUUGUCAG